UAUUUAUAUAGUUUAAGAUAAAACAUUAUAUUUUCAAUAUAAAAAUAAAAAUUUAUUUUUUAUAAAUAU
This 69-nucleotide transfer RNA is filed under the name Anax imperator (emperor dragonfly). RNAcentral's name for it is "tRNA-Glu". The record is from RNAcentral. Lineage: Eukaryota; Metazoa; Arthropoda; Insecta; Odonata; Aeshnidae.